UAACAUUUAUGAGUUGAUGCAUAAAAUUCAUUUUGACACAAAACAUUGUUUUUUACUUAGUAAAUGACUCUAAAUGGAUAAGGAUGAUUAUGCACUCCUAGUCACAAAAAUGCACACCUAGAUUAAGAGGAUAUCGUCCAAUGUACGCAAAUACUAAGUGUCCUGAUUUUGACAUCAAUCAAAACAUACUACUAGAAGGAAAAUGUACUCACAUACUCCCCCUUUUUUAUGAUGGCAAAACUUAACGAAGUAUUUGAUGGUUUGAAAGC
Molecule: long non-coding RNA, 269 nt
Filed under: Lathyrus oleraceus (garden pea)
Lineage: Eukaryota; Viridiplantae; Streptophyta; Magnoliopsida; Fabales; Fabaceae
Description: Pisum sativum (pea) long non-coding RNA (PSAT_LNC007328)
Source: RNAcentral